RNAcentral lists this small RNA (3285 nucleotides) under Rattus norvegicus (Norway rat). RNAcentral describes it as "uncharacterized LOC102550328". The record is from RNAcentral. Lineage: Eukaryota; Metazoa; Chordata; Mammalia; Rodentia; Muridae.
GUGCGCCUGUGUAUGUGUAUGAUAUAGUUUUUAGUAUAUGUACUUGUUAGUUUGUAUGCACACAUGCAUGAGGAUGCUGGUGCACAUAUGUUGCACAUGCAUGUGGAGCUCCACUUUGCCCGUCCGUUCUCCACAGUUCUCCAGUGUUAAUAUUUGAGACAGCGUCUCUGGUUGAACCUGUAGGCCAAUGACUGGGCUAGUCCAGCUGACUGACUAAAGAGCUUCAAGAACCCAAGUGUCUCUGCUACUCUCUCUCCCUGCGCUGGGGUUACAGGCAGGAACCCCUCCCUGUGCUGAGCCCUUCACCUGGGUUCUAGGGAUUGGAACUCAACUCCUCGUGCUUUCAGGGUAGGUACUUCGCCGGCUGAGCCAUCUCCCCAGCCGGUACAUCUGAUUUUAAGUGACCUUUAUCAGGAUCCAGCUUCUGCCUGUUCUACCAAAGCUGUCCUCAGACAGGCUACACCACUCCAAGUUCACAGCCAGCCGAAAUGAGUAUCUUUGUUCUAGGACAUCUGAGGGUGGCUCUGCUGGCUCUGGGUGCUCCCCUGCCUACUCCUGAGUUCACUGCCUUGGUGAAUGUCACCUGCUGUAGCUCAGGUUGUCGAUUCCCGAGUCAAGAGUGGAUGUAGCCCCCUGAGUGGUCUGUGACCCCCAGACGGGAAGGCAGGGCGCGCUUACCAGUUAAUGAACGCUGAACAGCUGAAAGGGGAAAUGUCCACUUUUCUGGUCAAACCCAGGGUCUAAUUCCACACACAUUAGAAGUCCUUAGAAGACCACUGUCUUCCCCGGCUGCUCUUGCUCCUGCCAUCUAGCUGUCUUGGCAAGGGUAGGAGCUUGGGAGAAGGAGGUAGGAGCCAUUGUUCCCCCAGGUGCCCUUUGUUCUUGUUGCCACAGGAUCGAGCAUCCUGACCCCUCUGUGUGCCACUGUGAUUCUGGAAAAGACACUCUUCCACUCGGAGUCACAGUUUCCUCUGCUGCAGAUACGGUUCGUGAUGUCCAUGCAACCUCUCUCAGGAGACAGGAAGUGGGUAGUGGGUGGCAGGACCAGAGACUCGUGUCUCCUCUUUUUUUUCUUUUUUUUUUUUUAAAGAGGUCCUUUAUUGAAAGGGGGGAGGAAGCCAGGAAGAGAACGCUUGGGUCUCCUCCUUAAGGCUGGGGCAGCUCUGAAGAAGCCACACAGAGUAAGGUUUUGUUUGUUUUGAACACUUUCGGUGCUGGCCCAGAACGCUUAAAGGAAAUGCUUUAAACGUGUUGGCAAUCUGUGCUCUGAGUGAGACCACGGCCUCUGAGCCCAGACAGAUCAGUCCAAGCUCUGGCCCUGCCCCAAGUGUUUGUGUGUUUAACUUCUCAAGGGUUUCCACUGAGGGGAACAAAAGCCCAGAAGUUUCCCCGAAGUCCUUUGGCUUAAUCCUCCCAAGAGUCAUUGAAGCCUCUCAAGAUUGAUCCAGAAAGUGGAGGACACUUCAAGACUCUGCUUUUCAUAUUUGUCUGUUCCUCUUCAACAAACCCACUUGAGGUUUUUGUUGUUGUUUUUUUUUUUUUUUCUUUUUAUGCCCCAGUGACAACAUAACACUGAAGUUCAAGAAUUAUGUCUAGGGUCACAGUGGCAGGAAGUGGCUGAACAGGGAGGCAUCUUUCAAGAAUCUUCUCUCCAUGCACAGAGAGAAAGAAAGAGCUAAGACUGCAACGGGCUCUCAGGCUGAGAAACCGGAAAGAACGGGUUUUGACAGCAUUCGACAGGAAGAUGGCAAGGUUUAAGCAAAGGGUGCAAACCACAGGCUGGAAGCUCCAGAUGCCUUGAUGACGUCACGCCCAUGGAGCCGGCCCUGUGCCUGACUUGAUGUUCAGCUGGAUUGAAAGUUGGAGCACAAAGGAACAGACAGUUUUAAGGGAACCAGCAGAUAAAUUUGUAUUUCUGGUUGGGUAAGAAGGAUGAAGACUUAACAAAAAUCAAACUACUGGUUUUUGUGGAUGAAAGUCCCUGGAAAGGAGAUAGAUGUACCCGCCUGACCACAGCAGGGAUCUCAGUAUCUGAGGUUCUAAUGUUCAGUAUCUAAUGUUCCAGGUCCUGAGCCAAAUUACUUUGGGCCAAUCAUUAGCCUCCUUAACAGCCACCGAUCGCCUUCUGUAUGCGCCCUAACAGCUCUGUGGCCCUUAGAAACGGAACUUCGUGAACGCGUGUGGCGAGAGCAUUAAAUAGACACCAGCUCUCCUGUGUUCUGCACUCACUUCCCAGGGAAGCCAUACACCUAAUAAACUGCCCAGCCAGAGCUGGCUUGCACUGCUGAUAGCCUCAGCAGGCACUGACCUUGGCACCGUGACAAGGGCAACAUUUCCAAGUGGAUGAGCGCCUCCUGAACAAAGUGUCCAAUGUACCAGGAAUAAACAGGCCUUUCAUCAACCGAGCCUGCGUGUUUUCUGGUUCCAACAGCCUUCCCCACUGCCGGGGUCAGAAAGCAGGGACAUCAACCAGCAGGGCCUCUUGGACAACCUGCUAGUCUUGCUCAUUCCUCCCAGAGGAUUCUGGGACUGAAUAGACUUGCAGGCCUCUGCCAUCACCUGUCAUGGCUGCAGUACAACUAUUUUAAACUUACGUUUGACCAGCUUAGGAAUGAACAAGACUCAGACUGUGGUUAUUUUAUUUGACUUUGACAAUUAUUGGGGGGUGACCCCUAAUCUACUUUUCUAACUGCUGGCCUGGCUACCUCCCCAGCGGUGUACCCCAAAUGCUUGCCGUUUCUCCUGGCCGUGUGCUCACGGUCCAUCUCCUCUCAUGGCGGCUUCCUCUCUCCUCCUCAUUUUCUCCUCCCCUCCACGCUCAACCAGGUAACUCAAAAACCCACCUCCCUCCAACCCCUACCCCCAGAAAUUGUCCGUAGUCAUUUUUAUUUAACCAAUAGUUUUAAAUUAAGGAACAGGGUUUGCACAACAACCGCUGGUAAAUUUGAGAAUUGCCUCGUAGGCUUAGACGUACGAAUUUAGUAUCCAAUACAUAGCGGCUCACCAAACUUCAACGCGAGGUUCCAUGAUUUCCCUUCUCCAUUUCUGCAAGAGUAGAACCGGAAAAGUGCGUUCCUUUACGCCUUGGUAAGAUCUGAGCAGGGGCAUUAGCUCCCCCUGUGGUGCAAAAGGGGAGUCUUGGGGCCACAUUCGCAAAACUCUGUACAGCAGCCCCAAAUAGGACAUCACAUCGUCAAGCACUGGCAGGGCCAACUUUUGAAAGGGACAGGUCACUAAGUCAGCCCCAAGGAGAGCAUGCACAGGCUUAGAGGAUAAGCUCCUGGA